UACGUAGGGUACAAGCAUUAAUCGGAAUUAUUGGGCGUAAAGGGCGCGUAGGCGGAAAUAUAAGUCAGAUGUGAAAUACCAAAGCUCAACUUUGGUGCUGCAUUUGAAACUGCAUUUCUAGAGGAUUGACGGAGAAAGCGGAAUUCCACGUGUAGCGGUGAAAUGCGUAGAUACGUGGAGGAACACCGGUGGCGAAAGCGGCUUUCUAGUUUUUACCUGACGCUGAGGCGCGAGAGCAAGGGGAGCAAACAGG
This 253-nucleotide ribosomal RNA is filed under the name uncultured Simkania sp. RNAcentral describes it as "partial 16S ribosomal RNA". It matches the Rfam family "Bacterial small subunit ribosomal RNA", at positions 524 to 776 of the family's 1533-position model. The record is from RNAcentral. Lineage: Bacteria; Pseudomonadati; Chlamydiota; Chlamydiia; Parachlamydiales; Simkaniaceae.